UAGGGAAUCUUCGGCAAUGGGGGGAACCCUGACCGAGCAACGCCGCGUGAGUGAAGAAGGUUUGCGGAUCGUAAAGCUCUGUUGUUAAGGAAGAACGAGUGUGAGAAUGGAAAGUUCAUGCUGUGACGGUACUUAACCAGAAAGGGACGGCUAACUACGUGCCAGCAGCCGCGGUAAUACGUAGGUCCCGAGCGUUGUCCGGAUUUAUUGGGCGUAAAGCGAGCGCAGGCGGUUAGAAAAGUCUGAAGUGAAAGGCAGUGGCUCAACCAUUGUAGGCUUUGGAAACUGUUUAACUUGAGUGCAGAAGGGGAGAGUGGAAUUCCAUGUGUAGCGGUGAAAUGCGUAGAUGUAUGGAGGAACACCGGUGGCGAAAGCGGCUCUCUGGUCUGUAACUGGCGCUGAGGCUCGAAAGCGUGGGGAGCGAACAGG
Molecule: ribosomal RNA, 429 nt
Filed under: Bacteroidota bacterium
Lineage: Bacteria; Pseudomonadati; Bacteroidota
Description: Bacteroidetes bacterium partial 16S ribosomal RNA
Rfam family: Bacterial small subunit ribosomal RNA
Source: RNAcentral